Molecule: ribosomal RNA, 495 nt
Filed under: uncultured bacterium
Lineage: Bacteria
Description: partial 16S ribosomal RNA
Rfam family: Bacterial small subunit ribosomal RNA
Source: RNAcentral
GAUGAACGCUGGCGGCGUGCCUAAUACAUGCAAGUCGAGCGAACGGACGAGAAGCUUGCUUCUCUGAUGUUAGCGGCGGACGGGUGAGUAACACGUGGAUAACCUACCUAUAAGACUGGGAUAACUUCGGGAAACCGGAGCUAAUACCGGAUGAUAUUUUGAACCGCAUGGUUCAAAAGUGAAAGACGGUCUUGCUGUCACUUAUAGAUGGUUCCGCGCUGCGUUAGCUAGUUGGUAGGGUAACGGCUUACCAAGGCAACGUGGCUUAGCCGACCUGGGAGGGGUAGCGGGCCCGAGGGAGUGAGGACCCGGACCGGACCCGAGCGGAGGGCCAAAGUAGGAAGGGAGCCAGAAGGGGGGAAUGCUGCACGAUGGACGGCCGCGUGAUGAAGAAAGGCCGCGGGUGGGAAAACGCUGUUAUUGGGAAGAACAUAUGUGUAAGUAACUGUGCACAUCUUGACGGUACCUAAUCAGAAAGCCACGGCUAACUACGUG